GAUGGUCAGACAGAUAGAUAGAUAGAUCUUGACACUGUUAUUUACUUGGCAGUCUAUGGGACAGUCACAGGCCUCCCGGUUUUCAUCCAAAAUGAAACAAAUGAAGCUUUUACGGGUUUGGAAUGACAUGGGGGUGAGUGAUUAAUGACCAAGUUUUCAUUUUGGGGUGGAGUAUCCCUUUAAGUAGAGUAACUUGUAAUCUGUAACCUAUUACAUUUCCAAAGUAACCUUCCCAACACUGGUGACAACAUGCAAUUAAUAGACAUCAAGCAACUUUCUAAAGGCACCAACAAUGAAACAAUGAAAGGUUACCAUAGUGACAUUUGCACAUUGUUUCUUUUCCAUACACCUUGCAUUGCACUCGGUUUGACAUCCAAGCAGCCAAAGUGAUGGAGGCAGAUGAGUUCGAGUGAGAUUGUGCACUUAGAUAGCGAGGACAGCCGAUAUGCUCUGGCAGCAGACCAAGCAUGCUGAGAGAAACGGAUGACCUGCAUCAAAACCCGCGCUGGCAACCCUGACAGCUGUGAAGGAGGGUCGAAUGGUCCUUUGCAACUCAAGAGCCCCACUCCACUGUUCCUAGCCCUAACAAUAAAUGGCUAAACAUAUGGACCCAGGCCUCAAAGAGAGCAAAGAUUGCAGAAAUUAAUUCAAUCAUGCUUUUUCGCUUCCCUUUAGACGCAAUGGGAUAUGUGAGCAAACAGCGCUGGGAUGGCUAGCACAUUAGUUAAUGAUACGCCCGCUACGUCUUACCCAAAGCUAUGAAUUUUCAUGAGGAUUUUGAAGCUUUAUUAUGGGGGUUGUAAACUGGGUUUUGAUUGCUUCUGGCUUGUUGGCAUUCACAUUUUCCUGUCCUUUUGCAUUCGCUCUUUAAUGGACUGCUAGUAAGAACCAUAAUAAACCAUUUAGUAGGAUUACUGUACUCGAGGACUUUCUGACCUAGAAGGAGCUUAGCGAUACACUGAAAGAGAAGGACAAGAAUGGUGAACAAACAAAUGAGGUCAGCUUCAAUCGGCCUGAUGGUUCUCAUUGACCCUAUGACCAUGUAAAAUCAGGUCAUAAUGGAUUCUUGAGAGACUGUAAUAGUUCACAUUUUUCAUGACCUUUUGGUUUUGAUCAAAUUUGAAAGUCAAACUCUUAUUUGUUUU
This is a long non-coding RNA of Cyprinus carpio carpio, 1145 nucleotides long. Lineage: Eukaryota; Metazoa; Chordata; Actinopteri; Cypriniformes; Cyprinidae. The record is from Ensembl.